This 854-nucleotide long non-coding RNA is filed under the name Struthio camelus australis. Its description in RNAcentral is "lncRNA (ENSSCUG00000016798.1)". The record is from RNAcentral. Lineage: Eukaryota; Metazoa; Chordata; Aves; Struthioniformes; Struthionidae.
GUGGACAUCUGAUUGCUGAGUAAACAGGAACAGCUACUACUAAACACUAGACAUCCUGCAUGAGUAAAACGAAACGAAACCAAGGCCAAAUUCCUAAAAUACUCCAUUACAGCUAGUUGAGUUUUGCCAGUGCAGAGCAGCUGAGAAUUGGCUGUAGCACUCAACAGUUCAAACUCUGUAACGGCUAAGAUUGCCUCUCCUAAAAUGUAUUGUAUAGCAGUGUUGAACAGCUCAAAGCAGAUAAAAAUUGGGCAGGAAUUAGACCACUGUCUGUCUCUUGACGUAACCUGAAAUUGCAGGCAAAGGAGGAAUCGAACUCAGACGACAACAACAGCAACAAUAAUAGCUUCAACGCAGCCCUCCUGUCUUUGAAAAGGACAACUGCUAUCGCCUUAUCACUAUUAUCUCCCCAUCAGGGAAAAGCAUCAGUCUCCAGUACUAAAAGGAAAGGGAAGAAAGAAUGUCGUUAAAUUAAAAACCUCACUAAAUAACUGACUUUAUAAAUAUUUGACAAUUGUCUCCUGGUUUUUGUUACGUUUUGAAAGGCAAUACUUUUUUUUUUUUUGGUCAAAAGUUUAAGUAAAUCAAGGUCUUGGUAUUUAAAAUUUUAAGUUUUCUUCUUCCUUUUAUUAUCCACUGGCAGUGCCAAGUUAAGUUUAAACUUAUGUCCCUGGACCUUUUUUCCCCAGCAAGAGCAAGACAGCAGUCUCCACAGAUAGCAACAGCAAGAAUUCACUGGUGAGACAGGCUGAAUUCAAAAGUUGUCACUCACUUUAUGCUCCCAUUUGAUUUCAGGGAAAUGUUUCCCUCGGUAACUGCUCCAACAAUCACUAUAUUACAAUAUUACUAGCGCG